This 1221-nucleotide ribosomal RNA is filed under the name Listeria monocytogenes. Its description in RNAcentral is "partial 23S ribosomal RNA". It matches the Rfam family "Bacterial large subunit ribosomal RNA", at positions 1 to 1217 of the family's 2925-position model. Lineage: Bacteria; Bacillati; Bacillota; Bacilli; Caryophanales; Listeriaceae. The record is from RNAcentral.
GGUUAAGUUAGAAAGGGCGCACGGUGGAUGCCUUGGCACUAGGAGCCGAAGAAGGACGGGACUAACACCGAUAUGCUUUGGGGAGCUGUACGUAAGCGUUGAUCCAGAGAUUUCCGAAUGGGGGAACCCACUAUCUUUAGUCGGAUAGUAUCCUUACGUGAAUACAUAGCGUAAGGAAGGCAGACCCAGGGAACUGAAACAUCUAAGUACCUGGAGGAAGAGAAAGAAAAAUCGAUUUCCUGAGUAGCGGCGAGCGAAACGGAAAGAGCCCAAACCAAGAAGCUUGCUUCUUGGGGUUGUAGGACACUCUAUACGGAGUUACAAAAGAAAGUUAUAAAUGAAGCGGUCUGGAAAGGCCCGCCAAAGACGGUAACAGCCCGGUAGUUGAAAUGGCUUUCCCUCCAGAGUGGAUCCUGAGUACGGCGGAACACGUGAAAUUCCGUCGGAAUCCGGGAGGACCAUCUCCCAAGGCUAAAUACUCCCUAGUGACCGAUAGUGAACCAGUACCGUGAGGGAAAGGUGAAAAGCACCCCGGAAGGGGAGUGAAACAGUUCCUGAAACCGUGUGCCUACAAGUAGUUAGAGCCCGUUAAUGGGUGAUAGCGUGCCUUUUGUAGAAUGAACCGGCGAGUUACGAUUUGUUGCAAGGUUAAGCGGAAAAAGCGGAGCCGUAGCGAAAGCGAGUCUGAAUAGGGCGCAUAAGUAACAGGUCGUAGACCCGAAACCAGGUGAUCUACCCAUGUCCAGGAUGAAGGUAAGGUAAUACUUACUGGAGGUCCGAACCCACGCACGUUGAAAAGUGCGGGGAUGAGGUGUGGGUAGCGGAGAAAUUCCAAUCGAACUUGGAGAUAGCUGGUUCUCUCCGAAAUAGCUUUAGGGCUAGCCUCGAGGUAAAGAGUCAUGGAGGUAGAGCACUGUUUGGACUAGGGGCCCUUCUCGGGUUACCGAAUUCAGAUAAACUCCGAAUGCCAUGUACUUAUACUCGGGAGUCAGACUGCGAGUGAUAAGAUCCGUAGUCGAAAGGGAAACAGCCCAGACCACCAGUUAAGGUCCCCAAAUAUAUGUUAAGUGGAAAAGGAUGUGGGGUUGCUUAGACAACCAGGAUGUUGGCUUAGAAGCAGCCACCAUUGAAAGAGUGCGUAAUAGCUCACUGGUCGAGUGACCCCGCGCCGAAAAUGUACCGGGGCUAAACAUAUUACCGAAACUGUGGAUGAACCUCUUC